AAGUCCUGUGGUGUAGACACGUCGGAUUGCAAAUCCGAAGACGCGAGUAGCAUCGCCGGGACUUC
This 65-nucleotide transfer RNA is filed under the name Megophrys carinense (Burmese horned frog). RNAcentral describes it as "tRNA-Cys". It matches the Rfam family "tRNA". Rfam says of the family: Transfer RNA (tRNA) molecules are approximately 80 nucleotides in length. Their secondary structure includes four short double-helical elements and three loops (D, anti-codon, and T loops). Lineage: Eukaryota; Metazoa; Chordata; Amphibia; Anura; Megophryidae. The record is from RNAcentral.